This 333-nucleotide ribosomal RNA is filed under the name uncultured bacterium. Its description in RNAcentral is "partial 16S ribosomal RNA". It matches the Rfam family "Bacterial small subunit ribosomal RNA", at positions 338 to 682 of the family's 1533-position model. The record is from RNAcentral.
CCUACGGGAGGCAGCAGUCGAGAAUAAUUCACAAUGGGGGAAACCCUGAUGGUGCGACGCCGCGUGGGGGAAUGAAGUUCUUCGGAUUGUAAACCCCUGUCAUGUGGGAGCAAAUUAAAAAGAUAGUACCACAAGAGGAAGAGCCGGCUAACACGGUGCCAGCAGCAGCGGGAAUACAGAGGGCGCAAGCGGUGGGCGGAACGACUGGGCGGAAAGCGUGCGGAGGCUGGUGCGUUAGGCGUGGGUGAAAGGCGCGGGCUCAACCCGCGGACGGCACUUGAUACUGCGAGACUAGAGUGAUGGAGGGGCAGCCGGAAUUCUCGGUGUAGCCGU